Molecule: ribosomal RNA, 1092 nt
Filed under: Staphylococcus aureus
Lineage: Bacteria; Bacillati; Bacillota; Bacilli; Caryophanales; Staphylococcaceae
Description: partial 23S ribosomal RNA
Rfam family: Bacterial large subunit ribosomal RNA
Source: RNAcentral
GAUCCAGAGAUUUCCGAAUGGGGAAACCCAGCAUGAGUUAUGUCAUGUUAUCGAUAUGUGAAUACAUAGCAUAUCAGAAGGCACACCCGGAGAACUGAAACAUCUUAGUACCCGGAGGAAGAAAAAGAAAAUUCGAUUCCCUUAGUAGCGGCGAGCGAAACGGGAAGAGCCCAAACCAACAAGCUUGCUUGUUGGGGUUGUAGGACACUCUAUACGGAGUUACAAAGGACGACAUUAGACGAAUCAUCUGGAAAGAUGAAUCAAAGAAGGUAAUAAUCCUGUAGUCGAAAAUGUUGUCUCUCUUGAGUGGAUCCUGAGUACGACGGAACACGUGAAAUUCCGUCGGAAUCUGGGAGGACCAUCUCCUAAGGCUAAAUACUCUCUAGUGACCGAUAGUGAACCAGUACCGUGAGGGAAAGGUGAAAAGCACCCCGGAAGGGGAGUGAAAUAGAACCUGAAACCGUGUGCUUACAAGUAGUCAGAGCCCGUUAAUGGGUGAUGGCGUGCCUUUUGUAGAAUGAACCGGCGAGUUACGAUUUGAUGCAAGGUUAAGCAGUAAAUGUGGAGCCGUAGCGAAAGCGAGUCUGAAUAGGGCGUUUAGUAUUUGGUCGUAGACCCGAAACCAGGUGAUCUACCCUUGGUCAGGUUGAAGUUCAGGUAACACUGAAUGGAGGACCGAACCGACUUACGUUGAAAAGUGAGCGGAUGAACUGAGGGUAGCGGAGAAAUUCCAAUCGAACCUGGAGAUAGCUGGUUCUCUCCGAAAUAGCUUUAGGGCUAGCCUCAAGUGAUGAUUAUUGGAGGUAGAGCACUGUUUGGACGAGGGGCCCCUCUCGGGUUACCGAAUUCAGACAAACUCCGAAUGCCAAUUAAUUUAACUUGGGAGUCAGAACAUGGGUGAUAAGGUCCGUGUUCGAAAGGGAAACAGCCCAGACCACCAGCUAAGGUCCCAAAAUAUAUGUUAAGUGGAAAAGGAUGUGGCGUUGCCCAGACAACUAGGAUGUUGGCUUAGAAGCAGCCAUCAUUUAAAGAGUGCGUAAUAGCUCACUAGUCGAGUGACACUGCGCCGAAAAUGUACCGGGGCUAAACAUA